GAUGAACGCUGGCGGCGUGCCUAAUACAUGCAAGUCGAGCGAACAGACGAGGAGCUUGCUCCUCUGACGUUAGCGGCGGACGGGUGAGUAACACGUGGAUAACCUACCUAUAAGACUGGGAUAACUUCGGGAAACCGGAGCUAAUACCGGAUAAUAUAUUGAACCGCAUGGUUCAAUAGUGAAAGACGGUUUUGCUGUCACUUAUAGAUGGAUCCGCGCCGCAUUAGCUAGUUGGUAAGGUAACGGCUUACCAAGGCGACGAUGCGUAGCCGACCUGAGAGGGUGAUCGGCCACACUGGAACUGAGACACGGUCCAGACUCCUACGGGAGGCAGCAGUAGGGAAUCUUCCGCAAUGGGCGAAAGCCUGACGGAGCAACGCCGCGUGAGUGAUGAAGGUCUUCGGAUCGUAAAACUCUGUUAUUAGGGAAGAACAAAUGUGUAAGUAACGAUGCACGCCUUGACGGUACCUAAUCAGAAAGCCACGGCUAACUACGU
This 496-nucleotide ribosomal RNA is filed under the name uncultured bacterium. Its description in RNAcentral is "partial 16S ribosomal RNA". It matches the Rfam family "Bacterial small subunit ribosomal RNA", at positions 28 to 506 of the family's 1533-position model. The record is from RNAcentral.